UGUGAGCUCGAUGAGUAGGGCGGGACACGUGGUAUCCUGUCUGAAUAUGGGGGGACCAUCCUCCAAGGCUAAAUACUCCUGACUGACCGAUAGUGAACCAGUACCGUGAGGGAAAGGCGAAAAGAACCCCGGCGAGGGGAGUGAAAAAGAACCUGAAACCGUGUACGUACAAGCAGUGGGAGCACGCUUCGGCGUGUGACUGCGUACCUUUUGUAUAAUGGGUCAGCGACUUAUAUUCUGUAGCAAGGUUAACCGAAUAGGGGAGCCGAAGGGAAACCGAGUCUUAACUGGGCGUUAAGUUGCAGGGUAUAGACCCGAAACCCGGUGAUCUAGCCAUGGGCAGGUUGAAGGUUGGGUAACACUAACUGGAGGACCGAACCGACUAAUGUUGAAAAAUUAGCGGAUGACUUGUGGCUGGGGGUGAAAGGCCAAUCAAACCGGGAGAUAGCUGGUUCUCCCCGAAAGCUAUUUAGGUAGCGCCUCGUGAAUUCAUCUCCGGGGGUAGAGCACUGUUUCGGCAAGGGGGUCAUCCCGACUUACCAACCCGAUGCAAACUGCGAAUACCGGAGAAUGUUAUCACGGGAGACACACGGCGGGUGCUAACGUCCGUCGUGAAGAGGGAAACAACCCAGACCGCCAGCUAAGGUCCCAAAGUCAUGGUUAAGUGGGAAACGAUGUGGGAAGGCCCAGACAGCCAGGAUGUUGGCUUAGAAGCAGCCAUCAUUUAAAGAAAGCGUAAUAGCUCACUGGUCGAGUCGGCCUGCGCGGAAGAUGUAACGGGGCUAAACCAUGCACCGAAGCUGCGGCAGCGACGCUGAUGCGUUGUUGGGUAGGGGAGCGUUCUGUAAGCCUGCGAAGGUGUGCUGUGAGGCAUGCUGGAGGUAUCAGAAGUGCGAAUGCUGACAUAAGUAACGAUAAAGCGGGUGAAAAGCCCGCUCGCCGGAAGACCAAGGGUUCCUGUCCAACGUUAAUCGGGGCAGGGUGAGUCGACCCCUAAGGCGAGGCCGAAAGGCGUAGUCGAUGGGAAACAGGUUAAUAUUCCUGUACUUGGUGUUACUGCGAAGGGGGGACGGAGAAGGCUAUGUUGGCCGGGCGACGGUUGUCCCGGUUUAAGCGUGUAGGCUGGUUUUCCAGGCAAAUCCGGAAAAUCAAGGCUGAGGCGUGAUGACGAGGCACUACGGUGCUGAAGCAACAAAUGCCCUGCUUCCAGGAAAAGCCUCUAAGCAUCAGGUAACAUCAAAUCGUACCCCAAACCGACACAGGUGGUCAGGUAGAGAAUACCAAGGCGCUUGAGAGAACUCGGGUGAAGGAACUAGGCAAAAUGGUGCCGUAACUUCGGGAGAAGGCACGCUGAUAUGUAGGUGAAGUCCCUCGCGGAUGGAGCUGAAAUCAGUCGAAGAUACCAGCUGGCUGCAACUGUUUAUUAAAAACACAGCACUGUGCAAACACGAAAGUGGACGUAUACGGUGUGACGCCUGCCCGGUGCCGGAAGGUUAAUUGAUGGGGUCAGCGCAAGCGAAGCUCUUGAUCGAAGCCCCGGUAAACGGCGGCCGUAACUAUAACGGUCCUAAGGUAGCGAAAUUCCUUGUCGGGUAAGUUCCGACCUGCACGAAUGGCGUAAUGAUGGCCAGGCUGUCUCCACCCGAGACUCAGUGAAAUUGAACUCGCUGUGAAGAUGCAGUGUACCCGCGGCAAGACGGAAAGACCCCGUGAACCUUUACUAUAGCUUGACACUGAACAUUGAGCCUUGAUGUGUAGGAUAGGUGGGAGGCUUUGAAGUGUGGACGCCAGUCUGCAUGGAGCCGACCUUGAAAUACCACCCUUUAAUGUUUGAUGUUCUAACGUUGACCCGUAAUCCGGGUUGCGGACAGUGUCUGGUGGGUAGUUUGACUGGGGCGGUCUCCUCCUAAAGAGUAACGGAGGAGCACGAAGGUUGGCUAAUCCUGGUCGGACAUCAGGAGGUUAGUGCAAUGGCAUAAGCCAGCUUGACUGCGAGCGUGACGGCGCGAGCAGGUGCGAAAGCAGGUCAUAGUGAUCCGGUGGUUCUGAAUGGAAGGGCCAUCGCUCAACGGAUAAAAGGUACUCCGGGGAUAACAGGCUGAUACCGCCCAAGAGUUCAUAUCGACGGCGGUGUUUGGCACCUCGAUGUCGGCUCAUCACAUCCUGGGGCUGAAGUAGGUCCCAAGGGUAUGGCUGUUCGCCAUUUAAAGUGGUACGCGAGCUGGGUUUAGAACGUCGUGAGACAGUUCGGUCCCUAUCUGCCGUGGGCGCUGGAGAACUGAGGGGGGCUGCUCCUAGUACGAGAGGACCGGAGUGGACGCAUCACUGGUGUUCGGGUUGUCAUGCCAAUGGCACUGCCCGGUAGCUAAAUGCGGAAGAGAUAAGUGCUGAAAGCAUCUAAGCACGAAACUUGCCCCGAGAUGAGUUCU
Molecule: ribosomal RNA, 2429 nt
Filed under: Escherichia coli
Lineage: Bacteria; Pseudomonadati; Pseudomonadota; Gammaproteobacteria; Enterobacterales; Enterobacteriaceae
Description: bacterial LSU rRNA
Rfam family: Bacterial large subunit ribosomal RNA
Source: RNAcentral